This 21597-nucleotide long non-coding RNA is filed under the name Ananas comosus (pineapple). Its description in RNAcentral is "long non-coding RNA (ACOM_LNC021762)". The record is from RNAcentral. Lineage: Eukaryota; Viridiplantae; Streptophyta; Magnoliopsida; Poales; Bromeliaceae.
GAAAUGAAGGUUGCUAAGGUGGUGGACGAGCUCCUCGCUCAACAGGGUAUAAUUUCGAGGCCUCUGAAGCUUGUUGUGGUUUUCUUUCUAGUUUAUUUUAGAUUAAAGAUUUGAUUUUCUUGAUGCUAAUAUUGAUAUGAGUUUUUGGGUAGUCAAGUAAUUGUGGAGAGGUAUUGGAUGCCUAGGUUUCUUUGCGAAGUUUGAGGUCAAUUAUUUGUGUAGAGCAUAAACUAUCAAGACUAUGAAAACUGCACCAUGCAAUUUAGAUACCAAUUAUUUUGGUAUAAUUUACUUUUCUUGAUGACUGGGCUUAUCUGCCUUUGUGUUGAGAUUCUGAUUAAGCUAUAUUUGAGAUAAAUACUCUUGCUAGGCUUUUCAGUUUUCGCACUAUCUGGUUGAAGUGCAUGUGAGAUGUUUUGCGAGUUUGUAAUCAUAUAUAUACUGCCUGAAGUUAAACCAUAUGUUUGCUAAUUGAAACUGCAAAUUAUUUUUUCCCCCUCUUUUUGACUUCUAAAUUUCAUCUCAUGGUUGUAUACGUUCUACUAUGAUUUUCUAAUUACUUACUGAAUUUUGAAUGGUUUAUUUUUAUCAACUUGCAGUUCCGACAGGAUAUUUUGUAUAAUGUUUGAUUGUAUUAAAGUGUUGUCCUUUAGUACUUUGAUGCUUUGGAGUUUAUAAAAUGUGGCAGCUUAUCAAAGUGAUUGAUUGACUAUUUAUUUUUUAUUCUGCUAAAGAAAGAGGAAACUAGAACUCACUUGCACUUAACACAUUGUGCUAGGAGUAAGCAAAGAUUCACUAGCCACUUACGCUUCUUAGUAGUUUUCAUGUCUCUCACCUACCAUAUAAUACUUUUAUGCUGUUCUCUUUUAGAGCCACCUGCGCCUUUUGCUUGUUGAUCACAUUUUGAAGCUAUAUAGCGUAGUUGUAAUUUUCUAUAUUCUUGUUUAUUCAACUUAAUUGUGUUCUUUUCCCUUAUUUUUGCUUUUCUUGUUAUAGGUGGGAAGCGCAUUGUUCCUGUUGGUCUUGGAGAUGAUGAUCAGUGCAUUGAGGAUGACUUCACUGCAUGGUAUAUGAACUAUUUCAAACUGGUUAAAAUUUUGACACAACUAAAUAUAUUUGAAGGUCUUUGUGUGGCCUUUUUUUAGAUAAAUUUUUUGCCUAGCUAUACCAAUAUUUUUAUUUUCAGGAAAGAGCUUCUAUGGCCAGAGUUAGAUCAGUUGCUCCGAGAUGAAGAUGCUGCUUCAGGAGCAUCAACUCCUUAUACUGCUGCUAUCCCUGAAUACCGGGUCGUAUUUAUCAACAGUGAAGAUGCUGCCCACUUGGAAAAGAGUUGGAGUCUUGCAAAUGGCCAUGUUGUUCAUGACAUCCAACAUCCAUGCAGGUAGGAGGAUGUUUAGCUGCUAAAGUUUGAUAGGAUAAAUGCACAUGUACCCUGCAAAUUGUUGUAUUUACUUAUGUAACCUUAAAAAUUUUGAAGUUUCAUAUAGUCACACAAAAUUUGAUUUCUUAGAUGUAUACUCCUAUAUUCACAAAUUGCCGUUUCUUAGAAGACUUUUUAUGCAAAUGAACGAAAUUGUUCUUGCCAUUGACAAUUUGACAUUUUAGUGGUGAUGUACUAACCUAACAUGUUUUACCUCUUAGGGCUAACGUGGCUGUUCGGCGGGAGCUUCAUACCCCAGCUUCUGAUCGGUCCUGCAUUCAUCUGGAGUUUGACAUUGCUGGCACCGGUCUUACGUAAGUAUUUCUGUUAUUUACAUGUCAUGAUUGCAUAUUAUUGUUCAUCAUUUGUUCCAAUUAAGACAUUAGCAUAAUUAUCCCUUUUGUCCUACAUAUACUUUUCUCUUGAUAUUCUUACCAUUGAGAAUUUGUUGCUCAAUGGCAGCAGCAUAUUAUUAUGCUUGGGGAGAAUGGGAAAUUUACUGAUCAAUCAUUAUAUCAACUCACUAUUGCGUCUUACUUUUUUUUUAUCUUUUUGAUUAUGAACCAGUUAAAGUGGUAUAUAUUUUAUUGUUGGGCUUUUGUAAGUAUCCCAUUUGCUCUUGUAGAAGAGUCUUUUUUUUUAAUCUAUGACUUGGCGAUGCUGUUUAGCCAAAAAUCAAUUGUAAUAGGAUGAUUAGGGUGAUUGUCUGCUAUCUAACACAAUGAGACAAUGAGUAAUUAGUUCACGCUGGUCUAGAACCAGUGGCAUAAGAUAUUCGACCUAUACCUGGUGCCUAAAUCUUGUUCAAUUUUUUUUUUUCAGUUAUUGCUUUGAUUAAGUAUGAAUCACUCUGUUCUACUUUUUGCUUAUCAUUUUAGCUUUUCCUUUAAUCAGGUAUGAAACAGGAGACCAUGUAGGUGUAUUCACAGAAAACUGCCUUGAGACAGUAGAGGAGGCAGAAAAGCUAUUAGGUUAUUCACCAGACACAUUUUUCUCCAUUCAUGCCGACAAAGAGGAUGGCACACCACUUGGCGGUGGUUCAUUGGGCCCUCCCUUCCCAUCUCCUUGCACUUUAAGGACUGCUCUUGCCCGAUAUGCUGAUCUUCUUAACUCACCAAAGAAGGUGAGUGUUUCCUUUGGUACCCAUACCCUAUAUUUUUAUAUUGUUACUUGCCAUUGUGCCAUAUUUGAGAAUGUUUAUUAAUUGAUCUUGAACAGAGUGCUCUAAUUGCAUUGGCGGCUUACGCAUCUGAUCCUAGUGAGGCAGAGCGGUUAAGAUUUUUGGCUUCUCCUGCUGGGAAGGUUGGUUUCACUUUCAAAGAAUUUCAUAUGAACUUAAAACUUUAUAGGGUCGUUUUCAUAAACCCCUGUGAAAUUGUCUGUUCACUUAUAUAGCUCUGCAAAAUCAGAAUUUUCGUAUUUUCCCUUCAAAAACUUGAUUUCUUACAGAAAACUUGCAAAUAUUCCCACUACCUUUUGAGCUUUUUCUAAUACAAAACCAAUAUCACCCAUUUAAAUAGGAUGCACCCAGCUUCUGAUUAGGGUAUUUUUGUAAAAAGAAUUGCAAUUUAAAUUCUCUUGCAGCUAUACCCUUUCUAUUUUAAGAAUAUUCACCCUAGUAAAUUUUCUUUUUCUAAUGCAAAACCAACUACCCUACUUGAAUAGGAUAAUUUUCAACUAUUUUUUCUGUUUUUUUUGUAGAAACUGCACUUUCAAGGGUAUGUAAAAUUUUAGAUCAUACAGAUGUUUAUAUGCAAGUUUACAGCGUUUGGUGUAUAUGUGUACAUUUCUCAAUAUUCUUUUUGUGAUGUCCAAAUUUUGUGGUACAGGAUGAAUAUUCUCAGUGGGUAGUUGGUAGUCAGAGGAGCCUUCUGGAAGUUAUGGCCGAGUUUCCUUCAGCAAAGCCUCCUCUGGGAGUUUUCUUUGCAGCUGUUGCUCCACGCCUGCAGCCUAGAUACUACUCAAUAUCUUCUUCACCCAGGUAAUUAUUGCAUUUUAUAAUCAAUUUACUACAUUUGAACUGAUCCUUUGUUGAUAUUUAUAUAUAUUGUGUAUAACUUUUUCCCAGAAUGGCACCAACAAGGAUUCAUGUGACAUGUGCUUUAGUGCAUGGCCCAACACCAACAGGAAGGAUUCACAAAGGAGUCUGCUCAACUUGGAUGAAGGUACCUAAACUUUUGUCCGAGACAUCUUUAUAUUUAGUGUCAAUCACAAAUUUUGACCCUGAAGCUUGAUCUGAAUAUCAAUUUCCUCCUCGAGUUUCAAUUUUUCACAAUUGAAACCCUGAAGUUUGAUUCCAAUUUUGAUCUAAUUCCUAAGAGUUCACGAGCUGAACAUUUUAGUUCUUGAAGUGUGACCAUGAUUUCUAUUUCAUUCUCGAAGUUCCAAUUUGACACUUACCAAAGUGUGAUGAUAGUGCCGGUACAGCAUCUUUUCUGGUUGUAUACUAGUAAACAGGGCUUUUUUUGCUAAACAAAUUUCAGAGUAACUUGUUAUUGUUGGCAUUAUAAGAUGAGAUUGAAAUUGGAGUCAAAUUUCGAGGACUUAUUUUGUAAUUAAAUAUUAUAUUUGUGUCACGUGUUUGGUGAUGAUUACCUUUCUAUUAUAUAGAGAUCCAUCAUUAUAACUUAUGUCUAUCAUCUAUUUCUUUUUACCAGAAUUCUGUUCCAUCGGAAGAGAGUAAUGAAUGCAGUUGGGCGCCUAUUUUCGUGAGACAAUCAAACUUCAAACUGCCCUCUGAUCCUUUAGUGCCGAUUAUUAUGAUCGGCCCAGGAACAGGUCUUGCACCUUUCAGGGGCUUCUUGCAGGUUUGUUGCAAGUUAUUGCAUUUUGGACACAUUUAUUUAUAUUUUUUAAUUAAGUUUUCCCAUUUACUUAUAUCUUGUUCUUGGUGUGUGCAGGAAAGGCUAGCUCUUAAAGAGUCGGGAGUGGAGCUUGGUCAUUCUGUUCUCUUCUUUGGAUGCAGAAACCGCAAGAUGGUAUGGAAAUAUUGUCAGUCCACCUAUUAGAGAAGAGAAGAUAGCUUAGUAGCACUAAGGGCAUGUUUUCCCAACAAUAGCUUCUCUAGAAGUGCUGUUUCUGUCUGAAGAAGCACAAAGUGCUCUUUCCUUUGAAAUCUCCUCUACAGCUUUUUACUGCUGCAGAAGCAGAAGCUUCAAACUGGUACCUCUGCUCUUGGGGCCCAAAAGCUCAUUUGAUCGUGUCUCAUCUCAGUAAAAGCUCAAGCAUAGUUUGUGGCUAAAUACUUGGCUUCUGCAUUCUGGAAACUGUUUUACAAGCCAGGCAAAACAAACACUAACUUGUACAAUUAUGUUCCACUGUUCCUAUAUUAUAACUGGUUGUAUUGAUGCAGGACUUCAUCUACGAGGAGGAACUGAGCAAAUUCGUUGAUGAGUGUGCACUUUCUGAGCUCAUUGUUGCUUUCUCUCGUGAGGGUCCAACCAAGGAAUAUGUGCAGCACAAAAUGGCUGAGAAGGUUGGUGAAUUGUUGCUGCAGUUAUUCUAUUUUGCUUCCGUUAUCGUUACUUAUAACGCUAAUUUUUAUCAUUUCAUCUGUUUGACUAUACUAUCUGCUUUUUCUGGUUGGCAGGCCCCAGAAAUCUGGAAAAUAAUUUCUCAGGGUGGUUAUAUUUAUGUAUGUGGCGAUGCUAAGGGCAUGGCUAGAGAUGUACACAGAAUCCUCCACACCAUAGUUCAAGAGCAGGUACAUGACUUGCUUAAAAUAUCAUUCCGAUUGGAUUUGAUUUUCUGAUUAUUCAUCCUUCUGGGUAUCAAAUCCAAAUGAUUUGUAUCGAACCUUUUACCUUCUCAUUUUCCAUUGUACCCAUAGAUAGCGAGAGUCUCUCUUUUUAUUACUGCAAAAUUCCAGUUCUACUCCAAGUCCUAUAAAUGUUGCGAUUCCACAUUACCCUCCUAAAAUAUUACAAAACCUGCAUUGUGUCCCAUCGACCAAUGGGCAGGCUGAUAUAUCCCAAUUAACAGUGACAAAAGGACAAACUGAUGUAAGUUUAUAGCCGAAGGGGGUAAUAUAUAGUUUUCAAUACUUCAGGUCAAUGAAGUGAUCUUAUAAUUAUAAUAGGACGCAAAUUUUUUCUUUUCUAUAUUUAAAGUUCUCUUCUCCUGAAAUAGUUUUCUUUGUUCCGCCAGUAUUUAUCUAAUCAAGUUCCUUAAUUUGAGUUUUCAGGGAUCCCUGGAUAGCUCGAAGACGGAGAGCAUGGUGAAAAGUUUGCAGAUGGAAGGGAGAUAUCUUAGGGAUGUGUGGUAAAACAGUGUUACCUUCAAUAGCUUCUACCUUUAAGAGUGAUAAAAACGUCGUUGCAUCAACACACUUUGCAGUAUCUUCUGAACGGCUACUAGUGAACCUCAGCAAGAGAAUAUGGGUGCUUUCAGGAGAAGCCUCCGAUAUAUUGGGCUGUUGCUUUUUUUAUUUAAAAGCUUUUUCAGAGUCUGCUUUUGUUGUCUUCAAUAUGUGAUUCUUUUGACUCCUAACUAGGAUUUAUUUCAUGUAUCAUACGGAGCAAUAUUUAAAUUAUCGGAAAUACAAGGACUGUUUUUAAGUAUAUGUUGAGUAAGUUGGUGUUCAACUGGUUUGCUUGUUUCCAUUUGGCGUAGCGAAUGAUCAGCGAAUGAUCGGAGUUAAUAUUUCAGAAUAUGGUUGGAUUGUUCUUUACAUCCUUGAUGUGUAGCAACUAUGUUGUUAGGAUUGCUCGAAAAAGCCUACUCACAUAAUCUUCUAAGUUUUGGUGUACUCAUUCAGUUUUACUCAAACAGUACUUUUGCUGAUGCCUAGGUCGGGCAAGGGCCUUUUUCUGUAGGCUUAUUCAACAAGCAUGCAAUCGAAAUAAAAGCUGAAAUAAAUUUUCAGAUCUCACUUAUGGACUAUGGAAAACUGAUCUAUUCGCAAGCAAUUCUGCUCUUGGAAACUAUACUACAAUUUCAAAGACUGAUGCAAGGGUAAACCACAACGACGCAUAGUUGGUUACGGGCGUAAUUGUGAAGAAGCUCAUUGAAGUUUAAUUUUGUUGCUCUAUUUAGUCAUUAAACUGUAAUUUCUAUUUCUCUACAUGAUCAUCCUGUGGUUCUUUGUUCGCGUUUUCAAACAGAGGGAUGUACCGAUCUCCGAAAAUUGAUCUAGUCAUAGCAUGGUGGCUCUUUCAACUAUAGCAUUAACUCCAGAGACUACAUCUAUCAACUGAAUCCUGCCACUAGAGAAAUUAGCCGAAGUGAUUUGAUUUAAAUAAAGAAUUAAAGAGUGAUUUAAUUGCUAAAAAAGAACAAAAAAUUGAAGAGCAAUGAUCUCCUUAAAAAAAAAAGAAAAAAAGAAAAAAAAAAAGGUCUAACCAAAUGUAUCUUUUUCGUCCAACCGUACCCCGAAUCUUAAAGGAUCCUAAGAGCGACCUUUUUCGUACCCAGUGACAAACUAGUUUUUCCAGAUGCACGCACCAAACAGAGGAGACUAAUAUAACUCGUCCCCGCGUAAAUUACCAGCCUCACAAUAGUCGUUAAGACAAAUUAACUCCAAACCUUCGAGAAACAAAUUACGCCACCAUCACUGUCAGUUUGUUACCCCUUCCUCUCUCUUUCCCUCCUCUCUCUCUCUCUCUCUCUCUCUCUCUCUCUCUCUCUCUCUCUAUUCUAGAAGCAAAGAAAAUUAGAUCCUCCUUUCUCUUUCCUGUGCCAUAAUAUCCCUACACGUAACGCAGCAAAACAUUAGUAUAAGAUCCCACUCUCCUCCAAAAUCCUCGCACCAUAUUCAUAAAUCAUUAACCCACACCGAGUUGGGGGGGAGAGCCCUAAUUACGUCCCCGUUUUUAACACCUCCCCAUGACCAUGCAUUCCCAUUCCAACGGCCAAGAUCUCCCCGAGCCCCCCUUCCAGUUCUGCCUCGCCGGCCCCUACUCUGCCGCCGCCGCGCUGGAGACCCAUCCCUUCCGCACCCCCCCACCGCCGCCUCCCGCGGCGAAGACGAAGAGCGCCUCCUCCGGCUAUCAGAGGCCGCCGCCUCGAGAUUCGCGCUCGUUCGAGUUCCGCCUCGCCGGCCCCUCCUCUGCCGCCGCCUCCGCCGCGGCGGAGACGCUUCCCCUUCGCACCCCUCCGCCGCCUCCUGCGGCGAAGACAAAGAGCGUCUCCUCGGCCUAUCAGAAGCUGCCGCCACAGAGGAUGCCGCCGCGGCUGGGGUGGAGGGCUCUUGUGUUCGGGCUGGUGAGGGUGCCGGCGGAGAUGGAGCUGCACGACAUCAGGAAACGCCAGAGGCGGCGGCAGCGGUGGAACUCUGCAGAGGAAUCGGCGGUGCCGCCGCGGCCAGAGUGCCGCGGAGUAGGGCAUGGGCCGUGGAAGCUGAUUCGAUCGCUGAGUUGCCGAGGGUUCGAGAGCACCGCCGUCAUCGCCUCGGCGGCGCCGUUGAGCUUCAUCUAGCACUUGGGAGGAGCGUGACUACGCUAGGAAUGUACAUACGAAGAAAUAAAAUUGUAGCUGAGCCUAUUUAUAUUACGAAUGUAUUACACGUAUUGGUCACUGCACUCAUUCACAAGUUCCAUUUAGAUUGCUGUACUUCAAUUUAACAGAAAGAUGAUGAUUUUUGAGAUGAUGUUAUCAUCACAGUAAUUUUUUUAAAAUAAGAUGUUAGCUGAUCCAUUGAUAUAAUAAAAGUAAUGUUAGAAUUAAAUUUUUGCCAAAAGAAACUCUUAGGUCUUGUUUGGUUGGGGAACUAUAUCUAAAGGUGGGAAUAAACUAUACCCACCCUUAGCAGGUUAUCUCCCAGGGGUGGAAUUCCUACCCCUUUUAUUAAAAAAAUUUUAAAAUUUUAAUUUAAUUUUAAAUUUAAAAAUUAUAGUUUGUAAUUUUAUAAUUAAAGUUUAUAAUUUUAAAUUUCAAAUUUUAUUUUUUAAAUUUCAAAUUUGAUAUUUAUAUUUUAAAAUUUAAAUUUGAUCUUAAAUUAAAAAUUUUAAAUUCAAAUUUUAAUUUUAAAUUUUAAAUUUUAAAUUUUAAAUUUUAAAUUUUAAAUUUUAAAUUUUAAAAGUUGAGAGUUUAAUUUCAGAUUUUAAAAUUUAAAAGUUAAAAUUUAAAAUUUAAAAAUAAAAAUAAAAAAUUUAAAAAUUUAAAUUCAAAUAUAAUGAGAGAUAAUAUUAUUUUACUAUCUAUAACUACUCACUAUCCUUCUUAUUUCAUCUUAUCUAACCAAACGCUAUUUUUUUUAUUCCUAUGAUUAAUCAAUUUUCAUCCAAACACAAAAUUGAUUUAAUCCCCGCUUAUACCUCAAUUUAUACUAUUCCUGGAAUAGCCACUUUUUGCUUAUCCCCGAACCAAACGAUACAUUAAAGUCUUGACAUUUAUAUCCAUAAAACACUUAGGUAAAUUGCACUAACAGUCUCUUAACUUUCGACAUUUGACACUUCAAACAAUUGAAAGUAUUUCACUUUAGUCCUUUAAGAAAAAAUUCCUUUAAAAAAAAAAAAAUCUGUUCAAUCGUUCGUAGGGCUGGCAAAUGAGCGAGCCGGCUCGCGUUCGACUCGCGUUCGACUCGAUAUUUGGCUCGCUCGAGCUCGACUCGAAAUUAAAUGAGCCGAGCUUGAACAAAAAAAAAGGCUCGAAAUUUAUUUCAAGCCGAGCUUGAGUAUUACUCGGCUCGUUCGAAUUAGGCUCGAAAAGCUCGAAAAGCUCGAAUAUAUAAUAUAGAACUAGGCUGGAAUACUAUUAAUAGCACCAAUGACUUGGUGCUAUUAAAUUUUCUACCCUUGGAUUAAAAAAUGUGUGGUUGGAAUGAUGCGGGCCCUCUAGGGUUGAGUGGGUGGUUAGUUAAAUAGUAUAAUCGAACGGUUAAAAAUGAUAAAAGAAGUAAAUCUAACGGCAGAAAACUUGAUAGCACCAAAUGUCUCGUACUAUCGAUAGUAUCCCAGCCGGACUCAUAUAUAUAUAUAUAUAUANUUCUAUACAAAUUAAACUAUUGAUCGUAUGAUGUUGAGAAUUUCAAGCAACUCGUUUAGGGCUCGAGCUCGCUCGACUCGAAAUUAGGCUCGCUCGAGCUCGGCUCGAAUUAAUUUCAAUCCAAGCUUGAGCUUAAAUUUAGGCUCAAAAUUAAUUUCAAGCCGAAUUUGAGCCGAGGUAAGCUCGCUCGAGCUCGGCUCGUUUCCACCCCUAAUCGUUCGCUACAAAUUAUCAACCAACCCUCCAUCCUUUGUAAGCAAUAUAAGAGGGUUUACUACAAGUGACCUAGGGGAUUCCUACCACCCAAUAUUAGCAAAACCAAAUGUAAUUUUUGAAAGAACAAGGACCAAAAUGAAACAUCCUAAAAAGGCUGGGACCCCUGUGCAAUAUAGCCAAAAAGUAAAAGAAUGAGCAGUGCAAGUCUAAAAACUACAAUAAACAGCAUACCUCACUCUCGUUAAGUUCAUGAAUUUCUUCAUCACACCAUCCAUGCGCAGAGCCAGAAAAAGAGAGCACAUCCAUCUCGUAUCGCAAGCAGAGAACAACAAAAUACCCACUUUUCCGAAGAACUGAGAUAAAACUACAGCAACAAUUUUUUUUCCCGCACUACUCAAUACUAAUGCUCAUGGUACUCUUCAGAGAGAAUUAUGUAGGAGGCAACAUAAGUUACAAUGCACUAGAAGUAAGUCAGUGAGACGAGAAUGGCGUACAACUAAAACAUUUGCAGCUCUUAAAAAAGAAACUUCAUUAUGCAGGAUGAGAAGUUCUUCAUCAUGAACUAUGCGACUGCUAAAUGCAACUGCCUCGUGCGUCAGUAAAAUAAGACAACGAAAUUAUAAGACCAUUAACUGCAAAUAGAGGGCAAUACAAGAUAAGCAACAAGAUGGAGAUGUUCAACAAAGAAAUUCAGCAGUUUCUAAAUUGUAAAGCGUCAUACAUUUCAUCUCUGGUAAUAGUCAAACUCCACUAUAGCAUCCUGUGGUUCAAAGUGCAGAGCUUUAUCACCCUGUGGUGGCUGUUUCAGUUUCUCAAAUUUGGGCAUGCGACGAACACAUGAUGGAUCAAACCUUUGCAAACUAGAAAAAUCAAUAAACUUUAAGCAAUUAAGCCUUCAUUUGCAGUGCUCUAGAUAAGUCGUAUGAUUGUCAUUAUGCUCAAUUCUAAUGGCAUUCCUAAGAGGGAACCCACGACAGCAGCUACAGAGUAAUAGAGUUUUACACCUCUCACAGGAGAUGUAUCACAAUUUGUCCCUUUCUAAAUUCAGCACCAGUUUUAGCGCGCAACUCAAAAUGAAAUGGCCUUAUAGUGCUUUACUGCGUAAGAAAAUCAAAUGCAACUCUCUUACAGAGUAAAAACGAUGUAGAAUCAUCACGCAGCAAUGCCAAAAUAAUUAGACCAUCGACAACAUUUCCCACAGAAGCUGCAUUAGGUAUAUCUUACAAUAUAGAGGGCAAAUCAUGUUAACUACUGAUCUCCACUCUACCUGAAACUAGCAUAUGCAUAACAUACUGAGCUAGUUAUAGUAAGCAAGAUAAUGGUUAUUUUCACACUAAACCGCCCAUAAAAAACAAAGGAAAAAUGAAGAGUAAAAAAAAAUUACAUUCCAUGUAGUCACAAAUCUGUGGACAAACAAGAGCUCGUAGAAUUAUGCAAAUAUUCCUAUCGACUCAGAGCACAGCAGCCACAUAUAAUCUAACCAAGCGAAAUUCGAGGAAAAAAAGAAAAGAAAAGAGAAAUCAUAUGCUCACCCGUACACUACGUACACUAGGAAUUGAAUGCCACAAAACUCAAGAAGUAAGUGCUUGCAAAGAAUCAACACUACCAGGUUAACCGUAAUACAAACAUGAAUCUAAUCAAUUACACAAGUAAACCCCACUAGCAUAGGUAUGGCUAACCUCAUUGAAGUGCGCGAUGCCAUCGGAAACCGGCCGGAGAGACACACCGGACAAAGUGUUCGCCCCCUUCGCAGCAAACUCUACCAUACCAACAACUUCAAGCUCGCCAUCUUGCGAGUCCUGAUCAACCGGCAUCCGUGCCCUGAGCCGGCCCGCAGGGCCUUUUAAAGGAAUGUCGGCAACGUGCCACCUCAGCUCCCUCUUUUCUCGAUUCAGAACAGCCUUUGGUGACACAUUGAGCAACGUAGGGUCGACGGGCAGCUUCAGAAUGAAGGUCACAUUGUUUAGCGGGGCGGGCAAUGCCGGGUUUGAAGCGUACUGGAUCAUUACUGAAAGCAAGGUUCCGCUGUGGCGCUUCACAAGACGAACCCUAAGGGGAAGAGGGGUGGACCUUGGCUGAAGACUAUACUUCAUAAUGGGGAUCGGCUCUUCUUUAGAUUGAGUUCUAACAUGGAACAGUCCAUUCUCUAAGCUGCUCACGCAAGAGCUCUGUAAAACGGCUCUUUUGAUACCUGAGGUGCCCUCGAGACGGAAGGAGAACUCUGUUUCCUUCCCUGCAGCUUUCUUCGGAGGCAGGGUUCUUAAAAAGAUGGUUCCUUUGAGCCCCACGCGCGCCAGGAGAGACUCCUUGAACUCGGCAUUGAUCUCUUCCGAGAUGUACAUCUCCGGGCCUGUCAUUUCUGCAGUCUUCGAUACUAGAAGGUUCUCCAGAGGAGUACCAGCGCCUGCUGCUGCAGCGGCCGCUGCAGCAGCGGCGGCGGGGCCCUGGCUCAUGGCGAGGAGCUCGAGGCCUGUGAGCUGGGGGUCUUUGGGUGCCUUCUUCUUGGUCGUCACGAAUUCUGAUGCAUCCAGGCCGCCGCCGAACGCGGUGUUGAACCCUUCGAACGCCUCGGAGAGCGAGGCCUCCUCACUGCCGAACUCGACGCCGCCGUACUCCCCUUCGAAGCCCUCGACGCCGAUGAAGGUGGGCUUCGUGGCUUCGGCCGGAGGGAGCGUCGUGACCUCGAGCCCCGCGAGCGCCGCGGUGGGGUCAGCGGCGGCGGAUGCCGGAUCCUUGCUCUUCUUGAAGCCCCCGACUAGGGCCUCCUCCGGCUUGUUGAUCAACUCGCUGGCGGCGAAAGGGUCCUUCUCCUCGGGGGGCUCGUCCGGCUGGUCCUUCUGCUGCGGCUGCUCAUCGGCGGGGGGGACGGAGGGGGCAAUGGCGGCGGCAAUCUCCUCCCCUGCGGCCAAGGUUUCCGGGGGGAGCUCGAAGAUCGCAUUGGAGAAGGCUUCGAGGGUGGCGCGGCGCUCGACGGCGAGGGACUCGGGGCCGCCGGCCCAGGAGUCGGCGCCGCGGACGCGGGACUCGGCGUCGGGCGCGGAGCUGACCAUCUUGGCGAUGCUCUCGCCGUGGAUGGAGGAGAGGAUGGCGGCGAGGCGCACGGAGCCGACGCCGCGGAGGACGAUGUCGAGGGCCAUGUAGACCUCCGGGUACUUGCGGUGGAGCUUCUCCGGGGUGACGUCGACGCCGCGGCACGCGGCGACGACGACGCUCACGGCCUGGUUCACGGUGUUGAUGCAGUCGAACACGUUGGUCGCGGCGCGCGCGUGGUCGUCGGCGGUGGUGACGCCGAGGACGUAGAUGGAGUUCACGAGGCGGUAGACGACGCGGUACUUGGACUCCACGCCCACCACGAGCUGGCCGCUGGAGGCCGCGAGGGGGUCGUCGCCGAGGGCGGAGUCGAGGUCGUCGGACGCGGGCGGCGCCGCGGCGGCGGAGGACUUGUGGGACGCCGCGGCGGCGGCGGCGGCGGCGGCGGCGGAGGAGGAGGAGGAGGAGAGGGCGAGGCGGGUUUGGCGGAAGGCGGAGAGGGCGGCGAGGGCGCGGGAGGGGGGGAACCACUCGCGCGUCUGGAGGAGGAUGUCGGUGCCGUUCGUGGGUUGGAGGGAGAGGGCGAGGCACGCCAUUGACGAGCUCCGCGGACGAGAUCUCUAGGGUUUGGAGAUCUAGGGCUUCACCUUGCGAUUCCUCUUCUCCUCUCCCCUGCGAUCGGGGAGUUAGGGUUCGGGGAGCUGAGGAAGAGGAGGAGAUCUAUGCUCCGAAUCCUCGAUUGGAUCGAGGGGUUAGGGUUCGGGGAGCCGAGGAGGGAGGAGGAGGAGGAGAUCUAGGGUCUCGCUCUCUCAGAUCUGCUAGAGAGGAGAGGGUAGAGAGAAAUGGGGCGUCGUCGAUCGCUGGGAAACGAGAAGAGAGAAGCGGGGAAAGUUUUUUUGUGGCGUAACCCCACAAGCAGUGAAUUGUAGACGGUGCCGAGUUUGCCUUUCAUUAGAAGUCGGCGACGGCAAUCAUCUGAGAGUGAAGACGUUGCCGUAUUCAUUGCUGAAUGUGAGCGCAUACCUGUUUAGCUUGCCAACCCCCCAAAAUAAAAGUGUGGACCAUCGAGGUAAAGUUUUUGGUUUUGAUAUCAAACAAAAAAGCAACUAAACAGUAUCAUGUCGCAUUAAAAAAGCUUGCUGAUUAUUGUGAAAAGAAACUAAACAAAAUCUUCCAUAAUGUUACAGUUUUGUAUUUGAACAAGUACGGUAGCUAAUGCUCCAACAUUUCCAGCCCCGAAGUACAUGAUGUUACAAUUGAAGAAAUAAUCCUUCUCUGUAGAUCUUUAUAGCCCAAUGCUAGCUUCAAGUCCCAACUUGCAUUAACCCUGCAAAUUUAAAUAUGUCAAGACCUAUAGAAAAGAUUAACGUGCAUUCAAAAAAUGACAAAUCACAGUGGUUAUUAACGGCUAUUUGGCUAUAGAUUGAAGCUGCUAAAAAGGUGCUUUUGAGUUGACCCCCCAACAACUUUCCACUACAGAGGAAGUAGAGGUUUCAAGUAGGAACUUAUGCUUUGGGUCUCAGAAGCACAUUUCAGCUUUCCGCUGCUACAAAAGCUUCAGACUUCUUAUUCUCAAAACAUCUGGUUAUUGCUUCGCAUAGUAGAGAACUUUGUUAGAGAAGAUAGACCAAACAGGCGUUAAGACAGUACCGAUCGAAAUCAUCCGAGUUGCCUAAUCCUUCCAGCAUGGGACUAAAGAUGGAUAAUACUGUUUCGAGCACCAUCCUAUCAUUCUCGCAUAUCUGAUGAGAAAAAAACAUGCCGAUUAGAGUCCAUUAAAUUAAAUUAAGUCAAGCAUUGAGCACACCAAAUAUCAAAUAUAGAAGUCUAAAUUGCACAAAGCCCACAAUAGAUAUAACUGAUUAUGCUGUCUUCUGAAACAUUGAAAACUACAUAUAUUACCCUUAAACUACAAAUUUUCAUUACUUCGCCGCCUCCAUCAGUAUUCCUUUCAGGUUGUAUUUGUGGCUUUGCUCACAUGUUAAUAAUGGGUGUAAAAUAUGGAAGAUUUCCUGGAGCGGAAGUGAAAAUCACAAUUUUUACACGAAAUUUCCUGCAUUUUAGCCUUUGGAAAUUACAUGGAUCUUCUCAGCUGUGUGACAUUCAGAGGGAAAAACUCACAUCUAUUCUAGAAAUCUCAGCAGGGGAUUCAGCAUUUUGACAAUUCAGAACAGCGCGGAGAUGGGUGAGCAACCGAGAAGGGAGGUCAUAUGUAUACGGCUGGUCAGAUUUGGAAAACCAUGUUCCGCGAACCAUAUGAGUUAUUUUACUUGUUUCUUCCAAUGUGCUGCUAUCAUUCUCCACAUUAGAAGUGUCAAAAUCUGCAAAAAAUAGCACAAAAAAUUGGUAAAAAAAUAUCCAAGGAAAAUAGCCAAUAAUAUAAUUUCCAUCCAUAAUGAUGCAUAAAUUAGAUUGCAAACUUCUAUGCUCUUCAGAAGCAGGAAACCAGGCAACUGAGAAAAAAAGAUAAGAAAAGAGGUCCAAGAACAUAAUGGAAAGGAUGCUUUGGAAGAGUCACAAAAUUGGCAACAAAAUAAGGAAACCACAUAAAGAAGUCAUUAUAGUUACACAUUUGAAGUGAUUGAAUGAUAAUUAGCUGAGAGGAAUAUCAGGAUAGGAUUUAUCCCUCAUCUUUUCAUGUAAUAAUCUAGCAUGCUUCCCAACAUUAAAAAUGGAAGAUUACCUAGAGGUAUAAUAUCAUAAGGGUUGUCCCCUUUUGGAAGGAAACCAUAAAAGGUGACAAGAUGUGAUCCAGACAGGCUUCCGUAGCUAAGAUAGCAUUGCUCCCCUGCCUCGCAUGGUCUUGACAAUGGGAACUUCAAUGAUUUUGUUACUGGGUCUACUCGUCCAUAGUGAAGAAUGUGAGGGCAUAACUGCAAAAGAAGAGUAACAAAAUGGAAACAUUGAAAGCUGAAACAAAAGAAUGAAAAAAGAGAAGGCCAAAUUGCAGAACCCAUUUAUAUUGUGAAUUUCACUUUGCCCCCCAGAAAUUCCUUUGAACUACAAGAUUUCAUCAGCUUGCCUCCUUCAUCAUUGUUCUGCUAGGUGCACUUCGCCCAUAGUUCAAUGGAAAAAUUAUAGGUUUCAAAUUUUAGAGGGGAGCAAUGUGAACACCGCAAUAUUUAUAGAGGGGUUUUUGUCACUUCUAACAAAGAAGUUCUAAGUUGACUUGGCAAACCGAGUGAUUAAGAAGCCCAGCAAUUGGAAUCAGGCAAGUCUUCAAUUUCCCAUCAGUUAGGACUACUUUCAUGCUGUUAGAAUACCAUAGUUCACAAGCCCACAGAUAUUUCUCCCAUGUGUAUAACUCUGGUUUGAAUAAAUCAGGAUACUUCAUGGAUAAAGCAGGGAAUAACGUAUCGUACUGUUGACGCAAGUGCUGAAAGAAGAACAAAAAACAUUCUUCAAAUUGAACCUCUGGAUGGCUCAAACUUGUUUUUUUGAUUUUGCAACUACAUGCCACUUUUUCAUCUUUGGGGUGAAAUAUCUUUUCUAUAGACUGGAAUACUCCUCUCCGGUACUUAAAAGUGCAUAAAAUUAUUACAAUGUCAAAUGAGGAUAUUCUAGUCAACCAAAAGAUGUUUCUUUAAAGCUGGAAGAAAGGAAAAAGUAUGCUGAAAAAACAAAUAGAAAAGAAAAAAAGAAACAAGUGGCCUGUUUAUGCAGAAAGCCUCAUCAAGGUAUAAAGGAAAAUAAUGGCACCUCUUUAGCUUGUGUUAGUUCUUCAAACAAAAGUGUUCCAUCUAAUACAGCAAGUGCAUCAAUUGCAAAACGCAACCCUGAAAACCAGUAGAUAAUAUUUAUUUUAUCUUUCAUUGGCAACUAUUCAUAUAAGGCUUGACAUAUAACAGUGUUUGCAGCAGUCACAAGAAUGGGUUGUAGUUUAGAUUCUGACAACUUUGAUUGCAGCCAUCACAAUACGACAGAAUAUUAACUUUCAACUGGAGUAAAAUAAAAGGAAAAACAUUCUUUUACCUAUUUUUUGGGGAUGCAUUAAUUCAAAGGCCUCACAAUGGUAUAAAGCUCAAUCAUGAUUAAAAAAAAAAGAUGCUUUCUUAUUGAUGUGUUUACAGUGUUUCUGCAAAUUCUGUGUUUAAACGCAAUACCUGUGUUAAAUUCUUCUGGAAGCGUUUCAAAGUAAAUCCUGAAUUUUGAACUGGGAUUAUACCUCUCUCUCAUGCUCCACAAUAGUAACAUUGUCUCAGAGGUAAUAUCAUCCAAGUCUUUUAAUACAUCAAACUACAGGCAUGACACAAUAUAAAAAGAUAAGCAGCAAAGUAGUAUAUCUGAAGUAUUUAUCAUCUAAUAGAUAGUACUGCUUGCUACGGAAGUUUCGAAAUGGCAAGCUAAGGAUCAAAGUGUAGUUAGCGAGAUGACGCAGUUCAUCGUUCAAUGGAGCACACCUUUUUUUUCAGUCAAUUUUUAUAGUUACAUCGUCCCAAUUACUGCUGUUAGCAUUAUCAUCUUAAAAUCAGUUGAAGAUUGUUGGAGUACCUGUUAAGUGUAACUCUUCCAUUGUUGAAUCAUCUUUGUUAUUGAAGAUUCAUUAACUUCUCAACUGGCCAAUGUUUUACUUGAUUUUAAUUUAAUUUUUAACUCUUUUAGAAAUAAAAUCAGAGGCAUAACUUGACCCAAAUAUGAAAUGACAGCAAAAUGCACAGAGCAUACCACAUCAGAUCCAUAGACAAGGUCUUCAGAUAUGAUAAGAGACUCUGGUACUUCCAGGGCAACGUCUCCAAUGCUUAAAUCUUCAGAAGCCACUGUUCCUCUCCCAGCUCCUUCAAAAACUAAACAAAGAAUCGCCUAUCAUACAAAAUUAUGCAAACUUUAAACUAAUUAUAAAAGUAGAAUUGAGAUUGCGGUUUAAGACAUUCUAACAACUCUCGCCCACAUAUUACUACUUAUAUCAGACAAAAGAGCCUUAAGAUAUUUCCCUUCAUAAUUAUCUUAAUAACCCAAUUUAACGUAAGAAACACAUAAGUGCCGCAUGCCUAAUGAAUCUGUCAAGGGGGGGUUCUCACGGUGCACGAAGAUUGUAACCCUGGAGCACUUAAGUGCAAAAAAUGAAACCACAAGGUAGCGUAGUGCAUAUGUGCUAAACCCGGAAGGAAUCCCUAAAACGAAGUACGCCGCAGAAGUGAAAUCACCAUUAAUUUUUGGUGUAGUAAAGUGUUACUAAGGCAAUAGAAUCCUAAAUUUUUUUUUUCAAAACUUGCACCCAACAUCUUAUGAGGUGCGAUUAGCAUAUAGAUUUAGACUUACAUGCUACCUUCAAUUUUGUUUUAACACCAUGACUUUCUCCCCAUUUCAGCAGCGAGUCCUCUGCAUCACCAUUGAAAUUCAUAGCAAUCAUUUCAACUUUGUUCUCCAUCCCCAAAGAUUUUAUCAUGCCAAUUGUUGCAGUCUCUAGCACUUGGAGAAGUUCUAUUGCAUCACCACUAGCAGUAGCAAGCACAGAGUGUAUGGUGUUCAGUACUGAAUUAAGGGAUUCCAGUUCAUUCCUUGAGCUGAACGGACCAAAAUCAUCGUCUUCAGCAAAAUAAAGCUCUAGCUGAGCAAUAAGAUGCACUCAAUUAGUGAUAUGUGAGUAAAUAAAAUCUACGAAAGAACUUACAAAUGCAUACUACCUCAUGCAUAUAUAGUAAUCUAGCAGUUUGGACCAUCUGAUCUAAUGUUUUCAGCAUCCCACUUUUGGAGGAUGAAACUGGAAAAUCAAAAUUGUAACUGAGAUUCCUGACAUUUGAUAAUCUCUGCAGUUAGAGCAAAAUGGUGAGUACCAGAAGAGAUAUUUAAUAUUAAGAAAAUGAGCAACUUAAGCAAUUUGCUUACAAUAGAAGCAAUAAAUGGAUACGCCAACUAUUUGAGAAUCCAGAUAAACUAGGCAUCCUAUUUUGUAUUAUAAACACAAAAAAAAACAACUAAAUGGGUCCAAAUUUUCAUAUUCUCUCAAAAAGAAAAUGUUAAUGAAGGUUUCCAAUUUUGAUCCAUGUAGCGCCUUUUUCAUGAUUAUCUGAAGAUACAUGAGAUGUAAGCUGCCUUCAAACUGGAUCUCACAGCAAUUCAUCAUUUUGACCAAUUAAAACUUAUUCAUUUGUUCCUUCCUCCUACUUGCGAGCUUGAUGAACAACCAAAACUUCGAAAACGGAUAGAAGCAAAUCCUUCAUAUCCCAUAAUUAAACUACUCACAUGAUUCCAACUUGCAAUCAUCACUACAUAUAAAAACAUGCAGUAUCUUACCUUAACAGUAGAACAUUUAAAACUUUAUAAAUUUUUUAUUUUACUAGCUAAGUUUCAGGUGCUUCUAAAAUAGGCAGCUGAACUUUCAAAUUUUUUAUUUUACUACAUAAUUCUAACUUUCUUGUGAAAUAUAACACGAAUUGAUGGAAUAAUAUGUUACUUGACGAAAUACUCAAAAUUUAAAUUUUUUAAAUUCAGGUGCUUAUUUCAAAAGAUUGUAAUAUUAGGUAUCUAUUUCAAAACGAACUAUAUGCUCUAUAGUUCAUUUAAGUUUCUAUACUUCCCCACCUACAAAAUUUAACACAAAAAAAAUGAAAAUUUUAAUUAGGGGAGUAGGUUACUGCGUUAUUUUUGCGGAAACAAAGUAAAACACCUUACCAUCUUCUCUGGGAACAAAGGAUCCUCUUCAGAGAGAAUUGGAAGUGAUAAAGUAACCACUCCACUCCUCUCCAUUUCCUUCUUCGUCGCCAUUCCUAACUCCUAUCAAUGAACGAAGUAACGAAGGAGAGCUACAUCAAAUCGAGCACGAUCGAAGUAAAGGAAACCCUAGAGUAAGCGAGGAUUUAGGGUUUAGGGUUUUACCUGGGCAGAGGGGAAGAGAGAAUAGGGAGUCGCCAUUGCAGUGAGGGAAAAAGCUCGGCAAUAAUGGGCUCGGCCGAUGCGGUUUAGGCCCGGCCCAAUUAAGGCCUGGUUCGCUAAAAAUAUGAGACUAAGUAGCCCAGCCCAAGCCCUAAAAUUAAAAUUAUAAUUUGUGGAAAUGUAUUCACUAGGUGUCAUAUUUAGGAAAUGGGUUUAAAAACUUAUAAUUUUUUUUUAAUGUAAUGCAUUUUAAAUGUUACAUUGGAGCCGAUGAUUUAGUCUUUUCUUUAUUUUAAAAUUUUCAAGUUCAAAUCAAUAAUUUCUUAAAUAAUAUUUACCUUGUGUAUACUAUGUUUAGUUCCUUAACUUUUUCACCCAAACUGUUUUAGUAAUAUCAUCAAGUUCUAGUUUUAAUGAAAUGUCCACAAACUUUUAUUUCGAAAAAAAAAAAAAAAAAAACUCCAUCAAAGUGCGAUUUUGAAAGGCCCAUAUGGAUGAUUAAAUUUGUUCAAACUUAUAUAAGUAAAUAGAUAAUUAUUUUUUAGUACAUUUGUAAAUUUUCCAACUAAAUAAAGUCAACAUAGCUCGUUCGAUCCGAAUAAUAUCAACUUGUUCUUUUUAAUGUCUCUAGAUACAUUAGCUAGAUGUAUCAAAUUAAGAAAUGUUAAUUUUGAUCAAUCAAAUGAUACCAAAUAAGUUGACCGAGCUUCUAAAAACAUGUUCUAUAUUCGUUAGAUCCAUAAAAAAUAUAUUUUAUACACUCAAUGUUUGUCACAAGCCGAUGGAGUAGUGAGAACUAUAUUUAUUUUCAUUAGAUCCAAAUAAAUGUAUAUUAUAUGCGUUAUUACAGCCAAACUUUAAUGAUUAAGAAAUUUUUUUUAACACUUUUUUCCCAGUAUAUUUUUUUAACAAAGCUAGUGAUCUUUUCAUAUAUAAUACUUGUUACAUCGCGAUCUUUGCAAAUGUUAAAGUAUGUAUCAUGCAUUUGAAUAAAAUACUAUAGCUAACCUAUCAUGUCGAGGUCUCGUACACAGAUUACCUAUUGUAUAGAUAACAUGUUGGACUUAGUUUAUGCAAUAAAUAAUUUUAUACGUACGGUACCAUGUCUAUUUCUUAAUGGAUCAUCUCUUGAAACAUGGAGCAAAUUUUUAAGUAUUUCAAGUUAAAAAUGGGCAUAAUUGGCCUCUAACUUAGUUUUUCUUUCCAACUUUUAUUAGUUCAUAGCUUUGUAGUUUUUUUUUUUUUUUUUUUUUGGGAAAAGAUAGCAUGCUAUUCGCUUUCAUUUAUUUCAUUUAGAAAUAAACAUAGCUGCAAAUGUGAAUCAACUAGGAUUCAAACUUGGGUCUCGAGUAUCAACCACCGAGGGCCUGUUUGUUUCGACGGAAGUUGGGUGGAAGUGGGACGGGGAAAGUGAUUUUCGGUGAAAACUAACCACUUCCGCUGUUUGGUUCACCGUAAGUUUAUUACGCCCGAAAGUUCAGUUCACCCAAACUAAGGAACUUGACUUCGCCCUCCCAUGGGGCGAAGUCAAUUUCGGUGAAGUGAAAAAAAGGCAAGAAUGGAUUAAUGUGUUAGGGUUACCUCUUCAUUUCAUCCAAAUAUAUUCAAUUGUGAAAAUAAUUAAAUUUUUUAUUUUGAUUGUAUGUCUAAAAUAUGAUCAAAUUUGAUUAGGUAAGCUUUAAUAUAUUUUUUGUUUAAUUUGUAUAUUUAGAAAAUGAUGAAAAAUAAAUUUGUUAAAUGUUAAUAAUUUUUUAACUUUAGAAUUUUAUUUGUUGCAUUAUUAUAAUUUAUAUGCAAACAAAUAAUAUAAUUUUUUAAAAUUUUAUUUUAUAAUUAUACAUAUAUAUAAUUAUAUACAUAUAUAAUUAUAUUAAUUUUUAUUUAUUAUAAUUUAUUAUUCACUAUAAGUUAUAAAAUAGACAAUAAUAUCACUUUGGAGGUAAGUAUACCGGGGGUGGAGAGCUCCACUUUUUACGUCAUCUACUUCCUACCAAACAAACAACAGAACUCGCAGAACUGCACUUCCACAGUUAAAAACAAACAGCAGAAGUGAACUAAUUUUCACCCCAACUCCACUUCAACCCAAAGUCCACUUCCACCCCAAGUCUACUUACGUUGAAACAAACAUGCCCCAGCUCUUUGCCACUUGCUUCAGGGACGGUCGGUGUAGAAUUAACUUCAGUAGCUUAGGAAUA